GAUGAAGAACGCAGCGAAAUGCGAUACUUGGUGUGAAUUGCAGAAUCCCGUGAACCAUCGAGUCUUUGAACGCAAGUUGCGCCCGAAGCCAUCAGGUUGAGGGCACGUCUGCCUGGGCGUCACAUAUCGUUGCCCAAUGCCUAUUGCAGUGCAAUAGGAAUUUCUAGGGCGAAUGAUGGCUUCCCGUGAGCGUUGUUGCCUCGCGGUUGGUUGAAAAUCGAGUCCUUGGUAGGGUGUGCCAUGGUAGAUGGUGGUCGAGUUAGAACGAUACCGAUCAUGUGCAUGCUCCCCAAAAUAUGGCCUCUAUGACCCACACGCGUCUUUUGACGCUCAUGACGAGACCUCAGGUCAGGCGGGGCUACCCGCUGAAUUUAAGCAUAUCAAAAGCGGAGGA
RNAcentral lists this unclassified non-coding RNA (394 nucleotides) under soil metagenome. RNAcentral describes it as "partial contains 5.8S ribosomal RNA, internal transcribed spacer 2, and large subunit ribosomal RNA". The stretch from base 1 to 122 matches the Rfam family "5.8S ribosomal RNA", at positions 35 to 154 of the family's 154-position model. The record is from RNAcentral.